This is a non-coding RNA of Bacillus glycinifermentans, 66 nucleotides long. Lineage: Bacteria; Bacillati; Bacillota; Bacilli; Caryophanales; Bacillaceae. The record is from Rfam.
CAUUCCCUGUCGAUCCGAAGGCUUGCGUUCCUACGUGAGCUACUUAUGUAGGUGAGAUGGGGCUUU